This is a long non-coding RNA of Thalassophryne amazonica, 517 nucleotides long. RefSeq lists it as uncharacterized. NCBI's taxonomy places the organism in Eukaryota, Metazoa, Chordata, Actinopteri, Batrachoidiformes, Batrachoididae. The record is from RefSeq and is a predicted model, not a curated record. The transcript has 3 exons.
GGGCACAAACAUUUUCACAGCACUGCAUUGGUGUUAAAAAGCUGUGUGAUUUUCCUUUAAAUCACUGUGACCUCAGCAUAUAUGACCUGGCAAGACCUUUGUCAUCUUCUGAAAAUGUGAUCUGGUUUGAGUAAAUGGAUAACAGCUGUCCUGAUAAAGCAGCAUCAGUGAAACAGCAACCAGAAAAGUCACCGCACAGUAAAGUUCACCAAUCAGAAGAUACAUUUCUGAGGAAAAGCAUUAAAGCUACUUGUUCUUCAACUCAACUGGGUUUAUUGUGUGUAUUUUAAGGGCAAUGCUGUGCUGAACACUGACAGAAGGGAUUUAUGAGAAUGACAAACACAUGAUGUAGAAAUAAAUGGGAUACAAAUCCAGGACUGAACAAACUUUAUUCCAAAUGACCCUCUUGUAAAACUUGAAACAGAAAAAAAGGAGCAAAGAAAAAGCACUUUUACAUUUCAAAGAGUCACUGGACAAAGAUGUAGAGAAUAAAACCUGAUUAUUUAAUGUUUGAAAC